ACAUCCAUUCGAAUCGUUAUCGCAAUCUCAUCGUUCGCAUCACUCAAUAUACUCCAAUAAUAUUCCAUGACUGACGUAAUGACCAGCGGGAUGACCAGCAGUUCAUCACCAACCGUGCCAACUGGACCGCCCAAGCCCAGGAAAAAGGGGAUGAUGAGCAACGAACGAAAAGCAUAUACAAGUAUACCUGCGUGACGUCAUAAGGUCAAAGGAGUUGAAGAGCCUCAGGGACGCCAGACUCCACAGUGUCGUCAAAGAUGUCAUCCAGAUGGAGGGGAUUGAGAACAACCAAGAAAACUACGACGCCAUCCGGUUAGAUAUCAGGAACGUCUUGUUCAACAAGAACAGGAAACCAAGAGUCCCCAAAGUGCCCAAACGACAAGUCGCGGAGUUGAAGCCUGUAAUCAAUCAAGCACCUGCACCAACCAUGGCACCUACGGCCAAUUCAUCAUCCCUCAUCGCCCCGUGUCCACGGUCACGUGUGUGUGUGUAUUUGAGUUUUGUCAGACGUGUAUCAAUCAGAUAUGAUUAUUUACGUCUAGGACCGACCUUUAACGUCACCAUCCGAAAGACGUGACCGGGGCUCGAACCUCGAACCUCUGCAUCAAUUUGUAACUUCACCACAUAGCUUGGAUUACAUGCGCACGCCACAACGCCCACCUUCGUCAACGGCCGGCCCACCAGCAACAAGUGCACGGCCCCAAUACGUCAUCACACCCAUUAUCAUACCCAUCAUCACCUCACCCGUCUUCAGUGACUUCAGUCAGCCCGUGGCAGCAAGAAUUAAGUCAGAAGGCAUCCACUAGAUCAAUGAGCACAGGGGCCGCGGAACGGUUUUUAAAGAAGGGGGUGGGCUGAGUCGAAAGUUUGGGGCUGACCAUGCAUAAAAUCAUAAUCAGAUGGACAUUUUUUUUACGUUUUUGAACAUUUUUUAAAGAAAAAAAGUGUGGGGGCUGAAGCUUUCGCAGCCCCCCCCCCCAU
Lytechinus pictus (painted urchin) is the source of this 981-nucleotide long non-coding RNA. RefSeq lists it as uncharacterized. Lineage: Eukaryota; Metazoa; Echinodermata; Echinoidea; Temnopleuroida; Toxopneustidae. The transcript has 3 exons. The record is from RefSeq and is a predicted model, not a curated record.